UACACGACUCUCGGCAACGGAUAUCUCGGCUCUCGCAUCGAUGAAGAACGUAGCAAAAUGCGAUACCUGGUGUGAAUUGCAGAAUCCCGUGAACCAUCGAGUUUUUGAACGCAAGUUGCGCCCGAGGCCUUCUGGUCGAGGGCACGCCUGCCUGGGCGUCACGC
This 164-nucleotide ribosomal RNA is filed under the name Thuarea involuta. RNAcentral's name for it is "5.8S ribosomal RNA". It matches the Rfam family "5.8S ribosomal RNA". Rfam says of the family: 5.8S ribosomal RNA (5.8S rRNA) is a component of the large subunit of the eukaryotic ribosome. The record is from RNAcentral. Lineage: Eukaryota; Viridiplantae; Streptophyta; Magnoliopsida; Poales; Poaceae.